Molecule: long non-coding RNA, 1755 nt
Organism: Cyprinus carpio carpio
Lineage: Eukaryota; Metazoa; Chordata; Actinopteri; Cypriniformes; Cyprinidae
Source: Ensembl
UCGGUUCCCAUAUUAGGGCAGAUGCGAAUGUGUGUGUAUAAAAAUAGUUCAAGGCAUUCUCCACAGCCCAUCGCUUCAAAUCCCUCCGGAGAGCUUUUUAAUUUACAGAGCUGAGGGAAGCGUCUGUCUUCAGUUGAUAGAGUUUGGAAGGAUAAUGAUCCAGCAUUGGCUUCCUUCAUCAGUCGUGUGACAUCACAACAAACUCUGGAUGGAGGUGCAGAUACAAACAGGCCGUCCUGUGAUCUUGAGAUGGGGAUGCACUCCCUUUGCAUACCGCCCUCCCGUUUGUUUUCCCCACCCCUUUCAGUUCCUCCUAUAAACUUUGUAGCGUGUCCUGAGAGCCUGUGUGUCCACAUCCAACAUUCUCCUGCUGCUUCACACUUUACCUUUUAUCUGAAAGGACUGCUUCCACCUCAGGCUGACAUUUAACGGGCACCACAAGAACGUAACAGCACCCCUAUCUCCAUCCGUCCAUUCCUCUCACUGCCACUAGUCUGCAGUCUUCAUCAGGAUGGAGAGGGUGCAGCACAUGGCACGCUCAGCCAUCCGGAGGGCGUCCAACAUCGAAGUGAACCCGCAGACCAAACGCAACCUACAAGAUCUCAUCAUCAACUUCUCCCUCAUCCUCAUCUGCCUGCUGCUCAUCUACAUCAUCGUCUUGCUCAUGUGACAGCAAAAGGCUACAACCGGCCAAUCGCAAGAUGCACUGUACAAGACCUUGGACAAUUUCUGGGAAUUGAAAAUGUCCUACUGAUGAUGCAAUGCAUGUUAAUUUCCUGAAAUGAUUCGAGGGCUGCACUAAUUUUUCUUCAUUUAUGUUUGUUGCAUUAUUCUUACAACAAUAAGCAUAUUUUUGACCUUUGGAUGAGUACAAAUCUCAUAUUGUUCAUAUAUAUUUUGUAUCGGGAUAUACAUAAAACAUACAAAAUUGCAUGUUAGGUAAAUUCAGAUAUGUUUUGUAUAUGAAUGAAGACCACACAGAAGGAAUUGGUCAUAUGAUAGUUCACAAAGACACAAAGAAUGAACAUCAAAAUGCCUGUAAUUUCUGGCAAAAGUAACUCCCAUCAGCAAACAGCAAUUCCUUUAAGUGCCAAGUCAUUUAUGUAAAUAUUCCCCUCAAAAAAUCUCAUAAUUGUUGUGUUGAAAUGCAAAAUUUAUAGGUCAGUCCCAGAAAUCAUAUAUUAUUCACAGAGGAACAGAGCAUGUUGGCACUAAGGUAAAUUACGCUUGUACACUUAACAUAUUAAUGUCUGUUUACACUUCCUUUGGACACGAUCUGAGAAAGAGAGAGCUAAAAUGGGUAAUUUAAGGAUGUUUUUAAAUGUGGACAACCAAUAAAGAGAAAGUUUGUUUUAAAUGAUCCAACUGACUGAAUUUUUCAAACAAAAGAAGCAAGAAAUAAACCAUGUGUAGAUCCUGUUCAAGGCACUGAAGCGGAAAACCAUAAAAAGCACCGUAAAAAGCACUUAAAGUGCAUUUAAAGGUUUAUUUCAGCUACAAAUAAGAAUACUAAACUUCCCCUUGUUCCAAACCUAUAUGCAUUUUUUAAUAAAAUACACAUACAAAUGUAAAGAAUCUAUUUGUUUCAUAGUUUAUACAAAGUUGUAAAUAAAACAAUGAUUACUGGGGAACAUUUCUUUGUAAUUAUUUGUAAAAGUUACUAGCAAUUUCUGAGUGAAAAUUGUUUCUACACCAACUUUUUUUUUUUCAGACUAGUUCUGUUCCUAUGACUUUAGAAGACUUCAAAUAUCUCAC